RNAcentral lists this long non-coding RNA (251 nucleotides) under Prunus persica (peach). RNAcentral's name for it is "long non-coding RNA (PPER_LNC000608)". Lineage: Eukaryota; Viridiplantae; Streptophyta; Magnoliopsida; Rosales; Rosaceae. The record is from RNAcentral.
UUUGUGGUGUCGUGCCUUGGUUUGAUGAAGAAGGUUGUGAAAGAGGAGGCUGUGAACCCACUCUUGGUACCGAUGUAUGAGAUUGUGCAGUUGUUGUCCUGUUAUGGCCUCCUCUUGCCACCUAAACAUAUUAAUAUACUAGUAAAAUGCCAAAAAAAAUGAUAUUAUAUUUUGACCAUAGAAAAAAUGACAUAUGAAAGUGAAAGAACCUUUAACUGUUGUUUCCUUUGCCUAACUGGCUUAUCUUUGGG